UCUACGGUGGCUGCAGUGGGGGAUAUUGCACAAUGGGGGGAACCCUGAUGCAGCGACGCCGCGUGGGUGGAGGAGCGUUUCGGCGCGUAAAGCCCUAUCGGCAGGGGAGAUGAUGACGGUACCUGACCAAGAAGCCCCGGCUAACUACGUGCAAGCAGCCGCGGUAAUACGGAGGAUGCGCGCGUUAUCCGGAUGUAUUGGGUUUAAAGGGUGCGUAGGCGGGGCAUUAAGUCAGCGGUAAAAUUGCGGUGCUCAACGCCGUAGAGCCGGUGAAACGGGGGAUCUUGAGUGAGGGAGAAGUAUGCGGAAUGCGUGGUGUAGCGGUGAAAUGCAUAGAUAUCACGCAGAACCCCGAUUGCGAAGGCAGCAUACCGGCGCUCAACUGACGCUGAGGCACGAAAGUGUGGGUAUCGAACAGGAUUAGAUACCCUGGUAGUC
This 438-nucleotide ribosomal RNA is filed under the name uncultured bacterium. RNAcentral's name for it is "partial 16S ribosomal RNA". It matches the Rfam family "Bacterial small subunit ribosomal RNA", at positions 338 to 795 of the family's 1533-position model. The record is from RNAcentral.